RNAcentral lists this ribosomal RNA (301 nucleotides) under uncultured bacterium. Its description in RNAcentral is "partial 16S ribosomal RNA". It matches the Rfam family "Bacterial small subunit ribosomal RNA", at positions 509 to 807 of the family's 1533-position model. The record is from RNAcentral.
CAGUAGCCACGGGAAUACCGAGGGUGCAAGCGUUAAUCGGAAUUACUGGGCGUAAAGCGCGCGUAGGUGGUUUGUUAAGUUGGAUGUGAAAUCCCCGGGCUCAACCUGGGAACUGCAUCCAAAACUGGCAAGCUAGAGUAUGGUAGAGGGUGGUGGAAUUUCCUGUGUAGCGGUGAAAUGCGUAGAUAUAGGAAGGAACACCAGUGGCGAAGGCGACCACCUGGACUGAUACUGACACUGAGGUGCGAAAGCGUGGGGAGCAAACAGGAUUAGAUACCCGGGUAGUCCCUGUCUCUUAUAC